RNAcentral lists this ribosomal RNA (206 nucleotides) under Proteus mirabilis. RNAcentral's name for it is "partial 23S ribosomal RNA". It matches the Rfam family "Bacterial large subunit ribosomal RNA", at positions 328 to 536 of the family's 2925-position model. The record is from RNAcentral. Lineage: Bacteria; Pseudomonadati; Pseudomonadota; Gammaproteobacteria; Enterobacterales; Morganellaceae.
GUCAGGAGAACGGUCUGGAAAGUCCGGCAGUAAAGGGUGAUAGCCCCGUAUCUGAAGAUGCUGUUAUUGUGAACUCGAUGAGUAGGGCGGGACACGUGUUAUCCUGUCUGAAUAUGGGGGGACCAUCCUCCAAGGCUAAAUACUCCUGAUUGACCGAUAGUGAACCAGUACCGUGAGGGAAAGGCGAAAAGAACCCCGGCGAGGGG